UCAAACAAGGUUAUUACAUGG
RNAcentral lists this unclassified non-coding RNA (21 nucleotides) under Dictyostelium discoideum. The record is from RNAcentral. Lineage: Eukaryota; Evosea; Eumycetozoa; Dictyosteliales; Dictyosteliaceae.